Molecule: ribosomal RNA, 328 nt
Filed under: uncultured eukaryote
Lineage: Eukaryota
Description: partial 18S ribosomal RNA
Rfam family: Eukaryotic small subunit ribosomal RNA
Source: RNAcentral
CCCUUAGAUGUCCUGGGCCGCACGCGCGUUACACUGAUGCAUUCAACGAGCUUAUAACCUUGGCCGAGAGGCCUGGGCAAUCUUGUUAACGUGCAUCGUGAUAGGGAUAGAUUAUUGAAAUUAUUAAUCUUGAACGUGGAAUUCCUAGUAAACGCAGAUCAUCAAUCUGCAUUGAUUACGUCCCUGCCCUUUGUACACACCGCCCGUCGCACCUACCGAUUGGAUGGUCCGGUGAAGCCUCGGGAUUGUGGUUCUUGCCGCUUUAUUGUGGCGUGACCGCGAGAACUUGUCUAAACCUUAUCAUCUAGAGGAAGGUGAAGUCGUAACA